This 233-nucleotide ribosomal RNA is filed under the name Ochetomyrmex neopolitus. Its description in RNAcentral is "partial large subunit ribosomal RNA". Lineage: Eukaryota; Metazoa; Arthropoda; Insecta; Hymenoptera; Formicidae. The record is from RNAcentral.
GAAUUUUAUAUAAUUAUUAGUUAGAUUUUUUUGAUAUUUUUGUAUAAAGAAGAGGAUUAGUAAUUAUAUUUAGUUGGGAGGAUUGUUAAAUUUUUUAAACUUUAAUUAAAUAUAUUUACAUAGAUGAAUGAAUUAAAGAGUGAUUAAAAAAUAAUUUAAUUAAAUAAGAAUUAAUUACCUUAGGGAUAACAGCGUAAUAUUUUUGGUGAGAUCAUAUUAAUAAAAAUGUUUGC